UAGGAUGUUUUUGGAUUCAGGUCUCUGAGC
RNAcentral lists this non-coding RNA (30 nucleotides) under Mus musculus (house mouse). The record is from RNAcentral. Lineage: Eukaryota; Metazoa; Chordata; Mammalia; Rodentia; Muridae.